CAUAUUAGCUUACCAAACAGGCUAGUAAGGAACAAGAUCAAAGCAAUCAUCAGCUGUUAAUCAAAUCAAAAUGACAUGAAAAUUAAAAAAACCCAAAUAAUAUCGAUCACAUGUUGCUCAAAUGGGAAUUCCAAACAGCAUUGAUAAUAAGAAGCUAAUGGUUCACAUCAUACAUAAUAGUGGCAUAAAAAGGAUCUCAUUACAAUAAUCCAUCAAAAGGUAAACCCUAAUCAUCAUCAAAUUAAUAGAAAAACCCCAAAACCCCCAAACACCAGAUACCCAAAUGCCUAUCAUCCAUUUCCCAAAUGUAGGGGGAAGGGUGAUUGUGUAAUAUCAAUCUACUCUUCCUCAGUGGCGGUGUCGCCACUCUUCUUGUUGUGCUUCCUUGCGUACCUCUGGUUCCUCAAGAACUUCGGGUCCAUCUAUAUAUACAUAAAUAAAAAAAGAUUACAAAUUUAUGUAUGCAUAGAUAUAUAUACACACAUGCCCUCGUAAAACAAUAAACAAGCCUUAUCCUCCAUAAAUUUGGAUAGACUACAUGAAUCUUUCUUCUCGAUUCCAUUUUAUUUGCUGCUAGAUCUACGGAGAGAAAUCAGAACAACCCAGGUUAAUUUUACUCCACAGAAAUUACGUCACACUCUUCUUAACGCGAGCCACACACAAACAAACAAAUAUAUUAUAAUAGAAGAACAAUCAGGAGAAUUCGACGAACCCCUUUGGUGGAUGUGUGACGAUGGCGUUUGGGUUUCUUGAUGCCGUUCUUAUGGGCUUUGUGUGACUGAUUAUGCGCUGUGUGAUUCUUCGACUUGGCCAUUUUCUCCUCUGAUUCUUCUCUGUUCUGAUUCAAAAUGCAAUAAAAGUAGAUUU
RNAcentral lists this long non-coding RNA (867 nucleotides) under Olea europaea subsp. europaea. The record is from RNAcentral. Lineage: Eukaryota; Viridiplantae; Streptophyta; Magnoliopsida; Lamiales; Oleaceae.